CUCAAUUAUAGCAAAGUUUGCAGAAGAUAUUUCCCCAUUUAAAGGUCGAGAUUGACUGUAUGAAAAGAAUGGCUGAAUGGUCCCUGCAUCAGCAACAACACUUGUGUUAAUCCCUACUCCAAUUGUUCUCCCCCUCCCCUUGAAGAAAAUAAGGGGAAAUAUCUAAGGUGACUAGUAGAACAUUAGAAAUAUGGAGAAAAGAAUAUGCUAAAUUUCACCAAUUGAAGCCUCAAUGCUGCAGCAAUGCCAUAGCCUCAAACCUGACAUGAACAAAUUGGAAACUUCAUACUUAAAGAGCUCCACAUCAGCUUUUGAGCUUAACCCAUCUUUUAAUCAAGUGCUGAUAGUAAUCGGGAACCAGAAAGAAUAGGCUAAACAAACAUGUAAAGGCCCAAAACAUUUCUAAUAAGAAAAAAAUAGAAUACGAAAGGGGUUUGAUCUAGUCUAUCUUCUUUAAAGGAGGAUAUAAAGAUCAUAUUUCUCAAAAAAUAGGAGGGCAGCCGCUGAGAUUGAACAAACAGAACAAAAACUUUCAGGGUAAGAGCGUCGGAAAAGAAGCAGAUAAGAGGAGGAAGUACAAGACGCAAACAACUUGUGGAGAACCACCGACAUUAGACUCACAUCUCUUCGCCUUUGUAUUUACCUAUUAUUUUGUUUUUUUUAUUGUUUGAAAUCAUGGAUAAAAUUUGUUGAAGUUUUUUUUAGUUUGAUGAUUAUGAGCUAAAAGUUUAUUUGCUAGAAUGAUUAUGGAACCCUAAUAUGAGAUUAUUGGUACUUUGCUAGGGAUGUUUGAUGCAAUUUGAUGUUUAUUCAUUCAAGUGAUUUUCAUGUUUAA
Gossypium raimondii (Peruvian cotton) is the source of this 835-nucleotide long non-coding RNA. RefSeq lists it as uncharacterized. The record is from RefSeq and is a predicted model, not a curated record. Lineage: Eukaryota; Viridiplantae; Streptophyta; Magnoliopsida; Malvales; Malvaceae. The transcript has 2 exons.